AGCAGCCGCGGUAAUUCCAGCUCCAAUAGCGUAUAUUAAAGUUGUUGCAGUUAAAAAAGCUCGUAGUUGAAUUUCGGGGUCAGUAGAUUGGUCAUGCCACUGGUAUGUACUGGUCUCACUGAUUCCUCCUUCCUGAUGAGCCGUAAUGCCAUUAAUUUGGUGUUGCGAGGAAUCUGGACUGUUACUUUAGAAAAAAUUAGAGUGUUUAAAGCAGGCUCACGCUUGAAUACAUUAGCAUGGAAUAACGGAAUAGGACGUUUGAUUCUAUUUUGUUGGUUUCUAGGAUCGACGUAAUGAUUAAUAGGGAUAGGUUGGGGGCAUUAGUAUUCAAUUGUCAGAGGUGAAAUUCUUGGAUUUAUUGAAGACUAACUACUGCGAAAGCAUUUGCCAAGGAUGUUUUCAUUAAUCAAGAACGAAAGUUAGGGGAUCGAAGACGAUCAGAUACCGUCGUAGUCCUAACCAUAAACUAUGCCGACUAGGGAUCGGGAUGAUGUUUAAUUUUUUAAUAGUACUNUACG
This 518-nucleotide ribosomal RNA is filed under the name uncultured Glomus. RNAcentral describes it as "SSU rRNA". It matches the Rfam family "Eukaryotic small subunit ribosomal RNA", at positions 569 to 1077 of the family's 1831-position model. Lineage: Eukaryota; Fungi; Glomeromycota; Glomeromycetes; Glomerales; Glomeraceae. The record is from RNAcentral.